AUGAACGCUAGCGACAGGCCUAACACAUGCAAGUCAGGGGCAGCACGAGGAGCAAUCUGAGGUGGCGACCGGCGCACGGGUGAGUAACACGUAUGCAACCUGCCUGUAAGCGGGGAAUAACCCGUUGAAAGACGGACUAAUACCGCAUAAUACUAAAUUACUGCAUGGUAAUUUAUUUAAACAUUUAUGGCUUACAGAUGGGCAUGCGCAUGAUUAGCUAGUUGGAGAGGUAACGGCUCCCCAAGGCAACGAUCAUUAGGGGUUCUGAGAGGAAGGUCCCCCACACUGGUACUGAGACACGGACCAGACUCCUACGGGAGGCAGCAGUGAGGAAUAUUGGUCAAUGGACGAGAGUCUGAACCAGCCAAGUCGCGUGCAGGAAGAAUGUCCUAUGGAUUGUAAACUGCUUUUGCAGGGGAAUAAAGUGCAUCACGUGUGAUGUUUUGUAUGUACUCUGCGAAUAAGGAUCGGCUAACUCCGUGCCAGCAGCAGC
RNAcentral lists this ribosomal RNA (493 nucleotides) under uncultured bacterium. RNAcentral's name for it is "bacterial SSU rRNA". It matches the Rfam family "Bacterial small subunit ribosomal RNA", at positions 29 to 518 of the family's 1533-position model. The record is from RNAcentral.